This 102-nucleotide small nuclear RNA is filed under the name Peromyscus maniculatus bairdii (prairie deer mouse). The record is from RNAcentral. Lineage: Eukaryota; Metazoa; Chordata; Mammalia; Rodentia; Cricetidae.
GUGCUCACUUCGGCAGCACAUAGACUAAUUGGAAUGAUACAGAGAUUAGCAUGGCCCCUGUGCCAGGAUGACACGCAAAUGCGUGAAGCGUUCCAUGUUAAA